Molecule: ribosomal RNA, 254 nt
Filed under: uncultured bacterium
Lineage: Bacteria
Description: partial 16S ribosomal RNA
Rfam family: Bacterial small subunit ribosomal RNA
Source: RNAcentral
UACAGAGGUCUCAAGCGUUGUUCGGAUUCAUUGGGGCGUAAAGGGUGUGUAGGUGGCGCGCUAAGUCGGGUGUGAAAUUUCGGAGCUUAACUCCGAAACUGCAUUCGAUACUGGCGUGCUUGAGGACUGGAGAGGAGACUGGAAUUCAUGGUGUAGCAGUGAAAUGCGUAGAGAUCAUGAGGAAGACCAGUGGCGAAGGCGGGUCUCUGGACAGUUCCUGACACUGAGACACGAAGGCCAGGGGAGCAAACGGG